CCCUUAGAUGUUCUGGGAUGCACGCGCGUUACACUGAUUCGUUCAACGAGUUUAUGACCUUGCCUGAUGAGGUGGGGGAAUCUUUUCAAAUCGCAUCGUGAUGGGGAUAGAGUAUUGUAACUGUUAGUCUUCAACGAGGAAUUCCUAGUAAGUACGUGUCAUCAGCUCGUACUGAUUAUGUCCCUGCCCUUUGUACACACCGCCCGUCGCUCCUACCGAUUGAGUGCUCAGGUGAAUAGUAUGGACUGCAUCAGUGUUCGGUCUCCGAAUGUUGAAGCGAGAAAUUCUGUGAAUCUUAUUGCUUAGAGGAAGGAGAANUCGUANCA
Molecule: ribosomal RNA, 326 nt
Filed under: uncultured eukaryote
Lineage: Eukaryota
Description: partial 18S ribosomal RNA
Rfam family: Eukaryotic small subunit ribosomal RNA
Source: RNAcentral